Molecule: long non-coding RNA, 1095 nt
Filed under: Bemisia tabaci
Lineage: Eukaryota; Metazoa; Arthropoda; Insecta; Hemiptera; Aleyrodidae
Description: lncRNA ENSSSA2NGG011779
Source: RNAcentral
AUGAAAAUCGCUGGAUGCACAUCUGUCACUCAUGCAGCCAUCCUUUCUCGAUUCCGCCCAAAAUCGGUUGACCAUCGGUCAGUGCCCUAUCAAGUAAGUGGAGUGCGUCAAGUGCCGGAUCAUCUCUGCUCAUUUUUCAAGAAGCUUCUCCCUUACUGUAACUCUUAUCAAGUAAAGAUGAAUGUAUUUACAAAAACAAUUGAGAUUACGUCGAGCUCGCAUGGAAUUCUUCGAGUUGAAUAUGGAGGUGACAUAUCCUUAUCUAGAAACAUAGUUUUAUCAGCCAAUCCUUCAGCCCGCACUUCGUCGGCCAGUGCUUCAUCAACUCGUGCUCCAUCGGGCCGUAUUUCAUCAGCUCGUAUUUCAUCAGCCAAUCCUUCAGCCCGCACUUCGUCGGCCAGUGCUUCAUCAACUCGUGCUCCAUCGGGCCGUAUUUCAUCGGCUCGUAUUUCAUCAGCCAGUACUUCCGGUACUUCAUCAGCCAGUACUUCCAGUACUUCAUCAGCCCGCGCUUCACCAUCCCGCACUUCAUCUAUCCGUACUUCAUCAGCCCGCACUACAUCAGUCUGUAAUUCAUCAGCCAUUCCUUCAGCCCGCACUACGUCAGCCAGUGCUUCAUCAACUCGUGCUCCAUCAGCCCGCACUUCAUCAGUCCGUACUAUAUCUGAUGUUGAUGAAGUACUGGCUGAUGAAACACGGACUGAUUCAGUCCGCGCUUCAUCAACUCGUGCUCCAUCAGCCCGCACUUCAUCAGUCCGUCCUUUACCAGUCGGUACUUCAUCACAAAGAGCUGGUUCAUCCAUGGCUUCGUCUCCUCGUACCCUCAAAAUAGUUCACGAGAAAGAUGAUGUAAAAAAAAUGUGUACUAAAAGGAUCUCAGGAGAAUACACAUUUGGAAGAUUAUUUUGUCCCGUUUGUUUCACAGACAUCUUGAAGCCAGAGGCUAAAGCUGAAGUGACCCGCUGCGGCCAUAUUUUUUGCUACGACUGUAUUGGAGAGGUGAUCCGUCGUGACAGAAAGUGCCCAACAUGCAGAGAGUACAUAGAAGCAGGCUUUCAUCAUGCAGUUUACUUUCCCUUGGUAGCGGAUUCAUAA